GACGAACGCUGGCGGCGUGCCUAAUACAUGCAAGUCGAACGCAGUGGGGACGGGUGAGUAACACGUGGGUAACCUCCCAUCAGAGGGGAUAACACUUGGAAACCGGUGCUAAACCGAUACUGAUGGAUGGAACCGCGGUGCAUUAGCUAGUUGGUGAGGUAACGGCUCACCAAGGCCCCGAUGCAUAGCCGGGCGGAGAGGGUGAUCGGCCGCACUGGAACUGAGACACGUGCCAGACUCCUACGGGAGGCAGCAGUAGUGAAUCUUCGGCAAUGGACGAAAGUCUGACCGAGCAAUGCCGCGUGAGUGAAGAAGGUUUUCGGGUCGUAAAACUCUGUUGUUAGGGAAGCGGUAUCUAACCAGAAAGCCAAGGCUAACUACGUGCCAGCAGCCGCGGUAAUUC
Molecule: ribosomal RNA, 403 nt
Filed under: uncultured bacterium
Lineage: Bacteria
Description: partial 16S ribosomal RNA
Rfam family: Bacterial small subunit ribosomal RNA
Source: RNAcentral